CCUACGGGUGGCAGCAGUGAGGAAUAUUGGUCAAUGGGCGAGAGCCUGAACCAGCCAAGUCGCGUGAAGGAUGACGGCCCUACGGGUUGUAAACUUCUUUUGUCAGGGAGUAAAUGAGUCCACGUGUGGGCUUAGCGAGAGUACCUGUAGAAAAAGCACCGGCUAAUUCCUGGCCGGCACCCGCGGUAUUACGGGGGUAGGGAGCUUUACCGGGUUUUUUUGGGUUAAAAGGGUGGGUAAGGGGAAUUUAAGUUCAGCGGUAAAAAUUGGGGGUCCAACCCCGGAGUGCAGUUGAUACUGGUGUUCUUGAGUGGACGAGAGGUAUGCGGAAUGCGUGGUGUAGCGGUGAAAUGCAUAGAUAUCACGAAGAACUCCGAUUGCGAAGGCAGCUUAC
Molecule: ribosomal RNA, 394 nt
Filed under: uncultured bacterium
Lineage: Bacteria
Description: partial 16S ribosomal RNA
Rfam family: Bacterial small subunit ribosomal RNA
Source: RNAcentral